GAUGAACGCUGGCGGCGUGCCUAAUACAUGCAAGUCGAGCGAACGGACGAGAAGCUUGCUUCUCUGAUGUUAGCGGCGGACGGGUGAGUAACACGUGGAUAACCUACCUAUAAGACUGGGAUAACUUCGGGAAACCGGAGCUAAUACCGGAUAAUAUUUUGAACCGCAUGGUUCAAAAGUGAAAGACGGUCUUGCUGUCACUUAUAGAUGGAUCCGCGCUGCAUUAGCUAGUUGGUAAGGUAACGUCUUACCAAGGCAACGAUGCAUAGCCGACCUGAGAGGGUGAUCGGCCACACUGGAACUGAGACACGGUCCAGACUCCUACGGGAGGCAGCAGUAGGGAAUCUUCCGCAAUGGGCGAAAGCCUGACGGAGCAACGCCGCGUGAGUGAUGAAGGUCUUCGGAUCGUAAAACUCUGUUAUUAGGGAAGAACAUAUGUGUAAGUAACUGUGCACAUCUUGACGGUACCUAAUCAGAAAGCCACGGCUAACUACGUA
RNAcentral lists this ribosomal RNA (497 nucleotides) under uncultured bacterium. RNAcentral describes it as "partial 16S ribosomal RNA". It matches the Rfam family "Bacterial small subunit ribosomal RNA", at positions 28 to 507 of the family's 1533-position model. The record is from RNAcentral.